RNAcentral lists this ribosomal RNA (409 nucleotides) under bacterium. RNAcentral describes it as "partial 16S ribosomal RNA". It matches the Rfam family "Bacterial small subunit ribosomal RNA", at positions 355 to 776 of the family's 1533-position model. The record is from RNAcentral.
UGGGGAAUAUUGCACAAUGGGCGAAAGCCUGAUGCAGCGACGCCGCGUGAGGGAUGACGUCCUUCGGGUUGUAAACCUCUUUCAGUAGGGACGAAGCGCAAGUGACGGUACCUGCAGAAGAAGCACCGGCUAACUACGUGCCAGCAGCCGCGGUAAUACGUAGGGUGCGAGCGUUGUCCGGAAUUACUGGGCGUAAAGAGCUCGUAGGCGGUUUGUCACGUCGUCUGUGAAAUCCUAGGGCUUAACCCUGGACGUGCAGGCGAUACGGGCUGACUUGAGUACUACAGGGGAGACUGGAAUUUCUGGUGUAGCGGUGGAAUGCACAGAUAUCAGGAAGAACACCGAUGGCGAAGGCAGGUCUCUGGGUAGUAACUGACGCUGAGGAGCGAAAGCAUGGGUAGCGAACAGG